Antechinus flavipes (yellow-footed antechinus) is the source of this 4993-nucleotide long non-coding RNA. RefSeq lists it as uncharacterized. The transcript has 4 exons. The record is from RefSeq and is a predicted model, not a curated record. Lineage: Eukaryota; Metazoa; Chordata; Mammalia; Dasyuromorphia; Dasyuridae.
GCAGGAUGAACAAUCAAUAGGCAGAAAGCAAGAUAGAAGCUUCCUCAGCUUCUGGAUCGACAAUCGACAGCUGAGAGACUAUUUUUUGCUAUGGUUGACUAAAUAUGGUCAGGGAAGACAGAGGCACAAGAGAGCCCGUUUGCCUGGGAGUGCAUGUUUUAAAUGCUUAGCUGCCUAUAAAGCUGUAACAGUUUAGCUCCACCACUCUGAGUGGGAAAUAUGGUUAGUCUCUGUAGUAUCUAUGUGGAAGUCCUGACCUCGCUUGCAGACUUGACCUCUGGAGAAGGAAAGCUCUUCAUCUGAGAAAUGAGUUAGGUUCAUCUUCCUUGGACAUUCUAGCAUCCUUAACUUUCGGUCCAGCAAGCACAAGAGCUGAAUCAGCGAAUAGAGUGAACGAACACUCAGGAUGAGAUGGCUGCUGCUGAUGGGUCUGUCUCUCUAGGUCAUUACCUCUCUUCCAACUGCAAAUGCUGCAUGAUACUAAGCUUACAGACUACGUACUUUUAGAACUCAGAAGCACAAACAAGUCAUGAAAGAAUUCUGCUGAGAAGACCAAGAUGAAACCUUUCCAAUUACAGAAAUACACUCUGCAAAACUUCAUCAGGUCAAUGAAUCAUACAAAGGUGGCUAAACCAGGAAGAAGAGCAACAGAUAUGUCUGGAAUGACUAUGUCCAGCCAAGAACAAUGAAGUGUAGUAAGCCUUAAUGCCAAAUCUGCAGGUAAAUGACUCUAUAAAAUUCAAUUCUUGUGAAAAAGUAAUCUGUGCGAAUAAUUAUACAAUUUGUGUAAAUAAUGAACAAAUUAAUUGUUAUUCUAAUGAUAAAGGAAUAAGGAAAAUGAAACAUUUCAUGUUUAUCUGACAAUCACCUAGACCUACUCAGAGUACAUACUUCUUUAUGUACCCAUAUGAACAUAUAAUGCUAUGGAAUGUAAAGAAGUAUGUAUUUUUGGUAGGUAAUAAACCACCAAGAGGGAAGACGGGAAGAAGCAACAUUUCUUUUGGAAUGACCUUCAUGUGGCAAAUUAAACUGGCAAGAAAGAGGACUUUGUUUUUAAUACUGCCACAAUAAAAUAUGAAACAAAAUAUGUCAUUCCAAAAACAGUUUGUAUUUAUGUGAAGGAAGAAAGAUUUCUUUUAAGAAAAAGGUAAAGAAAACUAUGAAUAUUUUGGUUCACUUUCUUCCAUUUGAAAGCAUUCUUUCUCAAUUUAAAUACUUUUUUAAAACAAGAAAGAUUCAGGUGACUAAAACUUGAGAACAAAAAAAAGAAAAAGUCAUCUUAGCACAAAAAGAAAAAACGUCUUACUUUUAAAUCUGGUAUCCACUAAUAAUGUUUUGAUUCAACUAUUACAUUUUAAUUUAGGUAUGUCAUAUUAAUAAAAAUUUUUGAUUGUUCAAAUUCUGGCAUACAAAAAAGAAAGGUUUACUUAUUCAAAAAUGUUAGCAAAAUACUUGAAAUAAAAAUAGCUAUUGAAAUCUGACCUAUUGGCAUUUGGGAAAUUUUUAAAAUAAAAGGCUUUUUUUUUUUUUUUUUUUAAGCUGUGACUACGGCUAUAGCUUCAAUUCUAAAAGAUCAAAGAUUUAACAAUGACCCUUAUCUUCCCAAUCUCUGCCCCCCUUAAAGCAAACAAAAAACUUUUGGCCUUGUUGCCUUUUAAGUUUAUUAGAUAAUUAACCAAAUCCACACUUUAAAAUUUUUAAUGAAUGUCUAGAUGGAAUAAUCUGAAAUGUCAGAUUUAAAUACAGAAAAUUAUAAUCCAAUGAUUUCUAGGAUAUAAUUGCUAGAUUUUGGGGGAGUAAUUUCACUGUGUUUCUCUGAGCUUUGUUUUACAUCAAUAAAUUAUAUCUAAGCCAAACUGGAUUAAUUAUGAGUCAUCAAACUCUUAGAUACUAAACUAUUUCCCUAUUUGCAAGGUAUACUAUUAUAAUUCAAUUUGUUAUAAGUGCUAAAGACUUACUAUUUGUAGAAAACUACAAAUAUAAAAAAUCUAGAAAGAAUUAAUAUUAAAACCAUUAGUUAUUAUGUAUAUGCACUGUAGGGGGGAACAAUAAGAGAAAGAACAAAAAUAAGCACUAAUAAAGUUAUAAAAUUAAUGCAAGACAAAGGCACAGAAAAUUCAGAGACAAAUACCUUCAUUUAAUUUCAAUUCAGUUUAUGUUUUCUGGACAUCCUUUAAAUAACUAUCAGUUAUCCAAGUGAUACUACUUCAUCUUGGACAGCUAGGAAAAGCUCAGUGAGAUGUGGGAUUUUGUUUGGGUUGUAUUGGCUUUUUAGUAGUCAGAAAUUGUCAUAGUUCAUUUUCUUUCUACCCAUUAAUAUAAUUGGUCAAGUAAUCAAUAGAGAAAUCAUAAAUUACAAUUAUAAUCUGCAGAGAAAAGAAACUGAUCUUGUGGUAUUACAAAUCUUUUCAGAGUGACUGAGGGUAAUCAUAUGUACAGAAGAAAUAUUCAAACUAACAUUUCAAAAAUAUUUCCUAGAUCACUUUUUCCCCUCAAACACAGGCUAACAUUCACUUCUUAAUUCCAAUUUUAAAAGAUUUUUUAUGUAACUUUUUAUGUUACUUGAUAAGUGCUGACCUUUACCACCUCAACAAUGAUUGUUAUAAGUGCUCAAUAUUCCUCCAGCAUUCCUCAAUAUUAUUACUUUGUUAUACUUAUUUCCUUAAAUUUUGCAAUGAUUACCUUACAAAUAAAUUAUUUUAUAUGUUCUAAAAUGUAAUUUUUUAAAAUUACUGGAAACAUACCAGUGGCCAUUAUUUUUUAUUUCAUAUUAAGAUCAUGAUAUUUUGAAACAAAAUAACAGCUUAUCAAUUACAAAAGGAAGAAUUAUACAUAUUGAUACUAUUGCAUACUAGCUCAAUUUAACAUAUCUAAGAAUAUAUUCAGUCAUCCUAAAAUGUCACAUCUAUCACUUAGAUCAGCUGUUCAUUUUUAACUGAGUACACAUUAAACUCUGGGCAUCUGCUGACACUGUUGUAACUCAAACAUUUCAACUGUCUCCCUGACAGGGAUAACAGAUGCUGACAUUAUCAAAUGCUGUACUAUGUGUUUCUUUUUUUUUUUCCAUGGCCUCUUUUUGCCCCGAUAUGGCCAGUAUAUGAAACUGAACUGACUGACAUCCAAAAGCACACUUGAGCAGCUGGAUCUGCUAAGUAGUUCCCAUAUAACUGAUAAAAAUAGAAUCCCAUUUUAAAGUUAUCAUCAGUGCUUAAGUCCAGGCAACCUGACACCUGCUAUGUUUCUAUCAGAAUACGGGGUGUAAAGAAUAUAUUUACAUAAAUAUCUUCAGCAACAUUAUACUUAGCUACCAACAGAUGCAGCGUCUACUUGACAAAAGUAGUCUGAACUAAUGUUGACCUCUCCUCCCUUUGUUUCUUAACUCCCUCUGGUCAGACAAAAGAGAAACAACAAAAACUUUUGCUGAAGUGCUGUAUGAUUUCUUUAAACUAAGGCCCUCUUUUAGGCUGUUUUUUUUUUUUUUUUUUUGAGCCUUAAAAUUCAAAUUGUAAUACUUCAGAAGACAAAUUUUGAUAUUUUACUCCAUGUUAAGUCAAAUCCAAAUGAAAACCAUGUUAGAAAAUUUCUAAAUUAUCAUUACUACGCUAACAUGAAGUAGUAAAAUUCUACUUGUUCAAAUGAAUAUAGUUUUAUAUUUUAAGACAUUAUUUCUUAAUUUCUCCAUCAAACUAAUCACAGUCUCUUAAUUGUCAACCUAGUGUAAAGUCUCACCAAAAUUAGUUAGCUGGUUGUCAAAUUACAGAGUUUAAAACUAGACCUGUAUCCUAUGCCUUAAUUAGAUCUCACCAGCAUGGUAGGAUCUGCCAAUAUCUAUUCCCCACACCUUGCCUUGAAAAAAUCCAGGAUUACCUCUACAACAAAAUAAGGUAGUAGAGAUUUUUGGUGAAAAAUUACUUUUAACCAAAACUUAAUUUUGCUUAUUAGAUGGGAUUAAAUAACUUACAUUCAAAAUUAGUGUAUCUGUACCAAAAUGACAAUAUAAUUAAAGGAAAUUAAAUGAUUAUAUUAAGAUUAGCUAUCUGUCUGUGUAAGGUUAGCAACAUUAUAUAAGUAAAAUCAAGUGAAAAACACACUGGAUUAUAUGGCAGUUCCUUUCACCCACAUAUGCUUAAGCAAUACUUUUAACAUAUGUAUGUUCUAUUUAUAAAGUAAAGGCCAGAGGUACUUCCUCAAGCCACCCUCCUUCUUCUCCACCCAUUUUCAGCAACUUGUUACUGGUCAACAAUUUAAGACUAAAAAAAGCAGUGGUGAUAGUAAAGGUGUGAUCUGUUGAAAUCAAGAACAGUACUUAUCCAAUUUCAAAUAUGCAGACAUCAAUUUUUACUGCUUAAGCAACCUGUUCUACUGCCUAAAGAUUUAAAUUAAGGACAAUAUGUUAUUCUAAAUGAAGUUAUUUUCAAAAUAAUUAAGUUGUUCAAAAGAUGGAUUCAGUAAUAGCAACAGUGUAACAAUCCCCCCAUUUCUAUUCUUCUCCUGAACAAAAAGUAUUCAUUCAAACAGUAGUCAUUUUAAAAACUGAAGUCUUUCAACUAAAGUACACAUCUAUCUUGUUAAUUUCUAAAUCUUACAGGAGUUCAAGAUCAUAAAGAUUACCAUCACCACCAACAAAAAAACCCUAAACUUUCAAAUCAAACAGCUCUAAAGUAUGACAAUGCUUUGCUAAAGCUGGUAAAAUGGAACCAAAUCACCUAUUCAAUGGAUUUGGUCCCCUUCAACCAGCUGUAGCUAUGCAUUGAUUACUACAAGAAAGCAAAAACUUUUAAUAAAGAACAUAAUUAACAAAAACAUAUGUCAUCCAAUUUUCAACUUGUUUUAAGUUUUUCAGAAGAUAGUUAAAUACACUAUAGAUAAUAAUUUGCAGUAAUAUGUGGAUUUUAUAUUUUAUCAAAUUGUAUUUAAAUUAUAUUUCUGUUAAUACUUAUUAAAAACGAUUUUUAUGGUAAAUAUGUUUAUUAAAAAUUUUAUGAAAAAUAAA